GUGAGUAGUUCAGAGUUUGAUCCUGGCUCAGGACGAACGCUGGCGGCGUGCCUAACACAUGCAAGUCGAACGGGGUAAUGACUUCGGUUAUUACUUAGUGGCGAACGGGUGAGUAACGCGUGAGAAACCUGCCUUUCAGUGGGGGACAACAGUUGGAAACGACUGCUAAUACCGCAUAAUGCAACGAGACCGCAUGAUCUUGUUGCCAAAGCUUUAUGUGCUGAAAGAUGGUCUCGCGUCUGAUUAGCUAGUUGGUGAGGUAACGGCUCACCAAGGCGACGAUCAGUAGCCGGUCUGAGAGAAUGAACGGCCACAUUGGGACUGAGAUACGGCCCAG
This 337-nucleotide ribosomal RNA is filed under the name uncultured bacterium. RNAcentral describes it as "bacterial SSU rRNA". It matches the Rfam family "Bacterial small subunit ribosomal RNA", at positions 1 to 334 of the family's 1533-position model. The record is from RNAcentral.